GACGAACGCUGGCGGCACGCCUAACACAUGCAAGUCGAACGGUGAAGAGAAGCUUGCUUCUCGGAUCAGUGGCGGACGGGUGAGUAACAUGUGAGGAACCUGCCUUUUCAGAGGGGGGAUAACGUUUGGAAACGAACGCUAAUACCGCAUAACAUAUUCGGACGGCAUCGUCUGAAUAUCAAAGGAGCAAUCCGCUGAAAGAUGGCCUCGCACCUGAUUAGAUAGUUGGUGAGGUAACGGCUCACCAAGUCGACGAUCAGUAGCUGGACUGAGAGGUUGAACGGCCACAUUGGGACUGAGACACGGCCCAGACUCCUACGGGAGGCAGCAGUGGGGGAUAUUGCGCAAUGGGGGGAACCCUGACGCAGCGAUGCCGCGUGGAGGAAGAAGUUUUCGGAUUGUAAACCUUUGUUGAUAGGGACGAAUAGAUGACGGUACCUAUCGAGGAAGCCACGGCUAACUACGUG
RNAcentral lists this ribosomal RNA (467 nucleotides) under uncultured bacterium. Its description in RNAcentral is "bacterial SSU rRNA". It matches the Rfam family "Bacterial small subunit ribosomal RNA", at positions 28 to 507 of the family's 1533-position model. The record is from RNAcentral.